GUUUAAAUUUCUUUAAGUUUUUGAAACUUAUUUUUAUUUUUCAAAAA
This 47-nucleotide transfer RNA is filed under the name Tetranychus urticae (two-spotted spider mite). RNAcentral's name for it is "tRNA-Gln". Lineage: Eukaryota; Metazoa; Arthropoda; Arachnida; Trombidiformes; Tetranychidae. The record is from RNAcentral.